RNAcentral lists this ribosomal RNA (1388 nucleotides) under uncultured prokaryote. RNAcentral's name for it is "partial 16S ribosomal RNA". It matches the Rfam family "Bacterial small subunit ribosomal RNA", at positions 8 to 1363 of the family's 1533-position model. The record is from RNAcentral.
AGAGUUUGAUCCUGGCUCAGAACGAACGCUGGCGGCGUGCUUAACACAUGCAAGUCGAACGAGAAAGUUUCUUCGGAAACGAGUAAAGUGGCGCACGGGUGAGUAACGCGUAGAUAACCUGUCCAAGUGAUCGGGAUAGCCCUUCGAAAGGGGGGAUUAAUACCGGAUACGUUGAUUGUUUUUAAGGACGAUCAAGAAAGGUGGCCUCUAUUUAUAAGCUAUCACACAUGGAGGGGUCUGCGUACCAUUAGCUAGUUGGUGAGGUAAGGGCUCACCAAGGCUACGAUGGUUAACGGGUCUGAGAGGAUGAUCCGUCACACUGGCACUGAAACACGGGCCAGACUCCUACGGGAGGCAGCAGUGAGGAAUAUUGCGCAAUGGGGGAAACCCUGACGCAGCGACGCCGCGUGGGUGAGGAAGGCUUUCGGGUCGUAAAACCCUGUCAGGUGGGAAGAAAUGUCAUAUGGUUAAUAUCUAUAUGACUUGACGGUACCAUCAAAGGAAGCACCGGCUAACUCCGUGCCAGCAGCCGCGGUAAUACGGAGGGUGCAAGCGUUGUUCGGAAUCACUGGGCGUAGUAAAGCGCGCGUAGGCGGCUUAUUAAGUCAGAUGUGAAAGUCCACGGCUCAACCGUGGAAGUGCAUUUGAAACUGGUAAGCUUGAGUACUGGAGGGGAUGGUGGAAUUCCCGGUGUAGAGGUGAAAUUCGUAGAUAUCGGGAGGAAUACCGGUGGCGAAGGCGACUUUCUGGCUGAAUACUGACGCUGAGGCGCGUAAGCGUGUGGGGAGCAAACAGGAUUAGAUACCCUGGUAGUCCACGCCGUAAACGAUGUCAACUAGGUGCAGGGGGUGUUGAUCCCCUCUGUGUCGCAGCUAACGCAUUAAGUUGACCGCCUGGGGAGUACGGUCGCAAGAUUAAAACUCAAAGGAAUUGACGGGGGCCCGCACAAGCGGUGGAGUAUGUGGUUUAAUUCGAUGUGCAACGCGAAGAACCUUACCUGGUCUUGACAUCCCGAAAAUUUUCUAGAAAUAGGAAAGUGCUCUCUUUGAGAGAAUUUGGUGACAGGUGCUGCAUGGCUGUCGUCAGCUCGUGUCGUGAGAUGUUGGGUUAAGUCCCGCAACGAGCGCAACCCUCGCCAUUAGUUGCCAGCAUUAAGUUGGGCACUCUAAUGGGACUGCCGGUGUCAAACCGGAGGAAGGCGGGGAUGACGUCAAGUCCUCAUGGCCUUUAUGACCAGGGCUACACACGUACUACAAUGGCCGAUACAACGGGCAGCCACUUCGCAAGAAGGAGCAAAUCCCUAAAAACGGUCUCAGUCCGGAUUGGAGUCUGCAACUCGACUCCAUGAAGUUGGAAUCGCUAGUAAUCGUGGAUCAGCAUGCUACGGU